RNAcentral lists this transfer RNA (71 nucleotides) under Pseudomonas aeruginosa. Its description in RNAcentral is "tRNA-Val". It matches the Rfam family "tRNA". Rfam says of the family: Transfer RNA (tRNA) molecules are approximately 80 nucleotides in length. Their secondary structure includes four short double-helical elements and three loops (D, anti-codon, and T loops). The record is from RNAcentral. Lineage: Bacteria; Pseudomonadati; Pseudomonadota; Gammaproteobacteria; Pseudomonadales; Pseudomonadaceae.
GGGUGAUUAGCUCAGCUGGGAGAGCAUCUGCCUUACAAGCAGAGGGUCGGCGGUUCGAUCCCGUCAUCACC